RNAcentral lists this ribosomal RNA (497 nucleotides) under uncultured bacterium. Its description in RNAcentral is "partial 16S ribosomal RNA". It matches the Rfam family "Bacterial small subunit ribosomal RNA", at positions 28 to 507 of the family's 1533-position model. The record is from RNAcentral.
GAUGAACGCUGGCGACGUGCCUAAUACAUGCAAGUCGAGCGAACAGACGAGGAGCUUUCUCCUCUGACUUUAUCGGCGGACGGGUGCUUAACACGUGGUUAACCUACCUAUCCGACUGGGAUAACUUCGGGAAACCGUAGCUAAUACCGGAUAAUAUAUUGACCCUCAUUGUUCACUAGUUAAAGACGGUUUUUCUUUCACUUAUAGAUUGAUCCGCCCCGCAUUAGCUAGUUGGUUAGGUAACUGCUUACCAAGGCAACGAUGCGUAGCCGACCUGAGCGGGUGAUCGGACACACUGGAACUGAGACACGGUACAGACACCUACGGGAGGAAGCAGUAGGGAAUCUUCCGCAAUGGGCGAAAGCCUGACGGAGCAAAGCCGCGUGAGUGAUGAAGGUCUUCGGAUGGUAAAACUCUGUUAGUAGGGAAGAACAAAUGUGUAAGUAACUAUGCACGUCUUGACGGUACCUAAUCAGAAAGCCACGGCUAACUACGUG